GACGAACCGUGCGAACGUUGUUCGGAAUCACUGGGCUUAAAGGGCGCGUAGGCGGAUCAGCAAGUCUGGGUUGAAAUCCUCCGGCUUAACCGGAGAACAGGCUUGGAUACUGCUGAUCUCGAGGGAGGCAGGGGCAGUUGGAACUUCCGGUGGAGCGGUGAAAUGCGUUGAUAUCGGAAGGAACGCCGGUGGCGAAAGCGAACUGCUGGACCUCUACUGACGCUGAGGCGCGAAAGCCAGGGGAG
This 245-nucleotide ribosomal RNA is filed under the name uncultured bacterium. RNAcentral describes it as "partial 16S ribosomal RNA". It matches the Rfam family "Bacterial small subunit ribosomal RNA", at positions 524 to 768 of the family's 1533-position model. The record is from RNAcentral.